Non-coding RNA from Paramuricea clavata, 326 nucleotides. Lineage: Eukaryota; Metazoa; Cnidaria; Anthozoa; Malacalcyonacea; Plexauridae. The record is from the annotation of a GenBank genome assembly.
UAUAAAUAAUUUAUUUCUUGAUAUACUAUUGCUACUACAGUGUGCUUUUCAAACACAGAUAUGGAAUUUGAAAUUUUAGUUUGGGGCUACAGAAAAAUUAAGCUAUAAAAGUCUGAAAUUCCUAACUGUAUUUGAUAUUAAAGAAAAGCACGUUAAAAGAACCAUUUCCCCACUUUUAUAAUCAAAAUUUUGAACUCAACAAGUCUAGACAAAAAUUUGAUCACAGCUUGAAAGAGCAUCACAAAAUUAGUAAUAUUCCAAAGUUUCGUUGGAAAAUGGAGUAAAAUGCGGAUAUAGCCUAGCCUUGCGAAGUUUGCAAUUUUCAG